Molecule: ribosomal RNA, 497 nt
Filed under: uncultured bacterium
Lineage: Bacteria
Description: partial 16S ribosomal RNA
Rfam family: Bacterial small subunit ribosomal RNA
Source: RNAcentral
GAUGAACGCUGGCGGCGUGCCUAAUACAUGCAAGUCGAGCGAACAGACGAGGAGCUUGCUCCUCUGACGUUAGCGGCGGACGGGUGAGUAACACGUGGAUAACCUACCUAUAAGACUGGGAUAACUUCGGGAAACCGGAGCUAAUACCGGAUAAUAUAUUGAACCGCAUGGUUCAAUAGUGAAAGACGGUUUUGCUGUCACUUAUAGAUGGAUCCGCGCUGCAUUAGCUAGUUGGUAAGGUAACGGCUUACCAAGGCAACGAUGCGUAGCCGACCUGAGAGGGUGAUCGGCCACACUGGAACUGAGACACGGUCCAGACUCCUACGGGAGGCAGCAGUAGGGAAUCUUCCGCAAUGGGCGAAAGCCUGACGGAGCAACGCCGCGUGAGUGAGAAAGGUCUUCGGAUCGUAAAACUCUGUUAUUAGGGAAGAACAAAUGUGUAAGUAACUAUGCACGUCUUGACGGUACCUAAUCAGAAAGCCACGGCUAACUACGUG